Molecule: ribosomal RNA, 309 nt
Filed under: Pantoea sp.
Lineage: Bacteria; Pseudomonadati; Pseudomonadota; Gammaproteobacteria; Enterobacterales; Erwiniaceae
Description: bacterial SSU rRNA
Rfam family: Bacterial small subunit ribosomal RNA
Source: RNAcentral
GAGGAAGGUGGGGAUGACGUCAAGUCAUCAUGGCCCUUACGAGUAGGGCUACACACGUGCUACAAUGGCGCAUACAAAGAGAAGCGACCUCGCGAGAGCAAGCGGACCUCAUAAAGUGCGUCGUAGUCCGGAUUGGAGUCUGCAACUCGACUCCAUGAAGUCGGAAUCGCUAGUAAUCGUGGAUCAGAAUGCCACGGUGAAUACGUUCCCGGGCCUUGUACACACCGCCCGUCACACCAUGGGAGUGGGUUGCAAAAGAAGUAGGUAGCUUAACUUCGGGAGGGCGCUUACCACUUUGUGAUUCAUGAC